GUGCUCGCUUCGGCAGCACAUAUACUAAAACUGGAACAAUACAGAGAAGAUUAGCAUGGCCUCUGCUCAAGGAUGACAUGCAAAUUCGUGAAGCAUUCCAUAUAAAA
Molecule: small nuclear RNA, 107 nt
Filed under: Castor canadensis (American beaver)
Lineage: Eukaryota; Metazoa; Chordata; Mammalia; Rodentia; Castoridae
Source: RNAcentral